CCUUUGACGUUAGCGGCGGACGGGUGAGUAACACGUGGGUAACCUACCUAUAAGACUGGGAUAACUUCGGGAAACCGGAGCUAAUACCGGAUAAUAUUUCGAACCGCAUGGUUCGAUAGUGAAAGGUGGUUUUGCUAUCACUUAUAGAUGGACCCGCGCCGUAUUAGCUAGUUGGUAAGGUAACGGCUUACCAAGGCGACGAUACGUAGCCGACCUGAGAGGGUGAUCGGCCACACUGGAACUGAGACACGGUCCAGACUCCUACGGGAGGCAGCAGC
This 278-nucleotide ribosomal RNA is filed under the name uncultured Staphylococcus sp. Its description in RNAcentral is "partial 16S ribosomal RNA". It matches the Rfam family "Bacterial small subunit ribosomal RNA", at positions 83 to 355 of the family's 1533-position model. The record is from RNAcentral. Lineage: Bacteria; Bacillati; Bacillota; Bacilli; Caryophanales; Staphylococcaceae.